AUCGAUCUAGCUGCAAGUCUUAGUUUUUUAUCUUCCUCUCAGAAAUUUGUUCAUCCCAGAAAGAUAAACAAGUUUCCCAGCAACCUAAGCUAAGCUAACACCACUUGCUGCAAUCAUAUAUCAAAAUUUGCAGAAGCUGUACAUGGAUCCAGCAAUAAGCAACGAGGUUUAUGUUCAUUCACAUGAAGCUUCGUCGGCAGAUGGUCGGGUCUGCAGGUUAGUUAUCUCUCCUUCUAAUUAGGUUUAUUCCUAUACGAGGCAUCUUACACCAUUUAUAUUCUCCCACCAUCCAACAUUUUUAAGCUGGUUUUGUUUUGCUUUCUUUGAUUCUUCUCCUCUUUCUUUCUAUGAUCUGUCAUUAACUUCAUAUAUUUUUCUCAAUAAGUGGUUCACCAUAUAUAUUAUAAUUUUUUUAAUCGCACCCCAUAUAAUAUAAUGUCUGAACAGAUCUAACAACCUGUCUAACUUACAUACAUAUAUGAUAAUUAUAUUUGUUGUUUUUGUUUUUUACUUGAAAGAUGCAUAUUAUGAGUUAUUGUCACCAGAGACAACAUGUCUUACUUACACCUUUACUUAGAUUAUACUAAUCACACAAUUUGUCAAACUUCAUUAAAUUUUUAGAUUUUUUUGGCUCGUACAUCUAUGGAUUUUAUUAUUGUUACGAAAACUUUAUAUGUUAUUAUAACUUGUUAAUUUUAAAAAAAAAUAACAUAAUGUAUUUUCGACAAAACAGCUUGUUUAAUCAUACAGUUUGUCAAAACUUGAAAAAUGUAAUAUAAUAAACUAUCAACAGAACAACUUAUCUUACUUACAUGAUGGUCAACCAUUAUCAUCAUAUCAUUUAAUGCACACAUGAGAAAAUUCAAAAAAAAUUUCUGUAAGUUUUAUUGGAUAUAUCCAUUUCUUCUAUUUCCUAGUUGCACGAAUAUUAGAAAAAUCAAAUGAAUUAUAGGCCAAAAUAGGUAAAUUGGCUGAGCCUUCCAUACAAAGAUUGGGGUGUUUGAUGUUUUGAAAAAAGAUCCAAACCGUUAAUUAAUUUUCAGAAAAGGACGCUUUUGUUGAGCUGUAUCAAGUAAAAGCAAAACCAAUAUUGUACAUUUAACUAAUGUUACUCAAUUUCCCAAUCUUAUUUUCCGACCCAAGUGACAUUGUGAGAUAACUUAUGUUGCUUAUUAAGCCCAAGUAAUUGACACAAAUAUCCAACAAGACUGAAGAGAUUUGCAUAUAAUUGGUUGACAAUUAAAUCACCUGAACGUGGAGGGGGUAAAGACAGCUAGAACAGUAACAUCAGAAUAAACAUUUGUUUUUAUUCCAAUUUUGGGUGACACGAAUUAUUUCAAGGGACCACUACUAUUUCUGGUAAAAGCAAGAUCUAUCAGUUUCAAUUCAAGUGACUAGAUGCGUAAUACUCAAUCUUAACCCAACAAACUUAAUUUGUUAAUAAUAUAGAUUACACAUUAUAAUAAAGGAAAAGACAUGUGGCAAUGUGUGAUUCGCUACUUUUAAUUUAAUGGUGCAAAUAUUAAGAUUCAACACUUUUAAUAUUGAAGGAAUAAUUUUUAACAUCUUCGUUUUCCCAACUCUCACUUCCAUCUUAUUUAACGAUUUAUUCAAUUAAUUAAUUAAUUUGACCAUCGGACUUCCUUCAUAUUGCCGGACUUUUGCUCUAAUUUUAAGGAAAUUGCCCAAAGUAAGAACUUUCAACUUCUUUCAAAUAUUUUAUUCUCUUUAUUGGAGUGAUUGAUUGUCUAAUUGAUUGUUCCAAUUCAUUUAUUUUCUUCUUCCGUAAAUAUUGCUCUCUUGCCCCUCCUUUCACUACUGCAUUACUGUAUAUGUAUGGUUUUGUAGUCUUUUGUUUGGGGAUCAAUCUCAACCCAAAUUACUUGCGUUUCAUUCGAGUCAGGCGGAACUUCAUACUCUGAAAAAACCGUACCCUCUCGAGUUCUGAAAUUCACAGUGUAAUCAUAUAUGCCGAAAAUUCCACCACACCCGCCCACGAUUUCCAGGUUUUCUCUGAUUCCGGGAAUAUGAAACUCUACGAACACGACCAAGUGUUCGCAAAUCUGAGAAAAGAACAAAAUAAGUUAUCCAUUAUCAUCUAACACAUUUCCUUGCAUUCUCCAUUUCAAUUUCAUUUUUUAACUUCCCUUGAUGACUUGAAUAUGUACAUUUUUAUUCUUAAUUAUCCAAUGAGUCAAUUUUAUUUAGCUACCAGUGCUCCUCUUUACGUUUCUUCCUUACUAUGUACUUUCUACUCUUCUCCCGUGUUACAAACGGUUUAGUGGAAAUCGAUUUUUAAAGAACUACAGCCUUUUCAUGCCAAUUUAUGGAAGAUUGGAUUUGAUUUUCUGAUAAAACGAAAAGGGAGGCGGAGACUCCAAUGAAAUUGAUUCAUUAUUAAAAACAAACAAUUCAUUAAAAAGUACGAGGAUGGUAGUUGGACGGAUAAAUUAGAUAAAUUUUUGAUUUAUUUAGUAAUAUUAUUCUGUUUUUGGGAUAAAUUUAGGUGUUGGUUUAAAAUGUUUAAUAUUUUAAAUAACCGACCAAUGAAUAAAUGUCAUGUAACAUGUAUACCUUGUACAUUAAUACAUCGAAGUCUAGAUCAUAUAAUAAAUUAAUAAUUAACGUUCAUAAUAAUAAGUUAUUACAACAAUUGCUACUACAUAAAGUCAUUUUAUGUGAUUGUUAACUUGGAAUUCUGCUCUGGUAUCUUUUUUAUUCUCUGAUGUUUGUGCAUCAGUUGUGUUGAACAAUGGUUGUACUUUUUUCUAAUCUUUAUUAAUACAAAUUAUAUGAACACAUACUGGAUGCCACAGGACACCUACACUUGAAUGUGGUAUGUGAAAACUCUGUUAAUUGAGAGCUCUGCUGAUUUAUUGUUUCUUUCCUUUGUUUCAUCUUCCCUUUAACUUUUGUAUCUAAUCUUUCUUUCUCAGCGUCACCACUUCCACCAGCAUCAUCUGUGCCGUCCUCUAAUCCGCUCAUCUCCUCCUUUUCAAGCUUCAUUGCUCCACUCUCUUCAUACUCCUCCAGAGAGAAUGGUAAUCCUCUGAAAACCCAAAUCCAAAGCAGCCGCGACAGAAACUAAAUGGGAAAUCGACGGGGAUGGCCACAGUAAAACAGAUAUGUGACGGGGAGGACAGCCGGGAAGGCCGCGGAGAAGCCAAUCGUCGACUACGGCCUUAGAGAACCAGAUUUAGGCCAUCGUUUUUCACUUUCUGUGACUUUAUAAUCAAAUCGCGG
Molecule: long non-coding RNA, 3243 nt
Filed under: Linum usitatissimum (flax)
Lineage: Eukaryota; Viridiplantae; Streptophyta; Magnoliopsida; Malpighiales; Linaceae
Description: long non-coding RNA (LUSI_LNC004075)
Source: RNAcentral